This 254-nucleotide ribosomal RNA is filed under the name uncultured bacterium. Its description in RNAcentral is "partial 16S ribosomal RNA". It matches the Rfam family "Bacterial small subunit ribosomal RNA", at positions 524 to 776 of the family's 1533-position model. The record is from RNAcentral.
UACGUAGGGGGCUAGCGUUGUCCGGAAUCAUUGGGCGUAAAGAGCGUGUAGGCGGUCCGGUAAGUCCGCUGUGAAAGUCGGGGGCUCAACCCUCGAAUGCCGGUGGAUACUGUCGGGCUAGAGUACGGAAGAGGCGAGUGGAAUUCCUGGUGUAGGCGGUGAAAUGCGCAGAUAUCAGGAGGAACACCAAUUGCGAAGGCAGCUCGCUGGGACGUUACUGACGCUGAGACGCGAAAGCGUGGGGAGCAAACAGG